AUCAACGCUGGCGGCGCGCUUAACACAUGCAAGUCGAACGAGAAAGUGGGGGCAACUCCAUGAGUACAGUGGCGCACGGGUGAGUAACACGUGGACAACCUGCCUGAGAGUGGGGAAUAACCUUGGGAAACCGAGGCUAAUACCGCAUACGCCCCCCGGAGCACAAGCCCUGGGGGGGAAAGGCGCAAGCCGCUCACAGAGGGGUCCGCGGCCGAUUACGGUAGUUGGUAGGGUAACGGCCUACCAAGCCUUUGAUCGGUAGCCGGCCUGAGAGGGCUCACGGCCACACUGGCACUGAAACACGGGCCAGACUCCUACGGGAGGCAGCAGUGGGGAAUCUUGCACAAUGGGGGCAACCCUGAUGCAGCGACGCCGCGUGAGUGAUGAAGCCCUUCGGGGUGUAAAGCUCUUUUGGCGGGGAAAAUCAUGAUGGUACCCGCUGAAUAAGCUGCGGCUAACUACGU
Molecule: ribosomal RNA, 464 nt
Filed under: uncultured bacterium
Lineage: Bacteria
Description: bacterial SSU rRNA
Rfam family: Bacterial small subunit ribosomal RNA
Source: RNAcentral